UCUGAUCUGCGGCGAGGUAAGGAGGAGCAGGAGGGAUCCGAUCCGGUCCGAUUUGCUGCGAGGUGAGGAGGAGCAGGAGGGAUCCGAUCCGGUCCGAUUUGCUGCGAGGUGAGGAGGAGCAGGAGGGAUCCGAUCCGGUCCGAUCUGCGGCGAGGUGAGGCAGCAACUGUCAAGAGAAGAAUAGC
This is a long non-coding RNA of Gymnodraco acuticeps, 185 nucleotides long. RefSeq lists it as uncharacterized. The record is from RefSeq and is a predicted model, not a curated record. NCBI's taxonomy places the organism in Eukaryota, Metazoa, Chordata, Actinopteri, Perciformes, Bathydraconidae. The transcript is spliced from 3 exons.